AGAGCGGGAGCCCGGAGAUGGGCACUGAGACAAGGGCCCAGGCCCUACGGGGCGCAGCAGUCGCGAAAACUCCGCAAUGCGCGAAAGCGUGACGGGGCUACCCCGAGUGCCGUCCGCUGAGGAUGGCUUUUCCCCGGUGUAAUGAGCCGGGGGAAUAAGGAGAGGGCAAGACUGGUGUCAGCCGCCGCGGUAAUACCAGCUCUCCGAGUGGUAGGGAUGAUUAUUGGGCUUAAAGCGUCCGUAGCCGGCUUAGCAAGUCUCCUGUUAAAUUCAGCGACCUAAUCGUUGAGCCGCGGGAGACACUACUAGGCUAGGAGGCGGGAGAGGCCGACGGUAUUCUCGGGGUAGGGGUGAAAUCCUAUAAUCCCGGGAGGACCACCAGUGGCGAAGGCUGUCGGCU
This 400-nucleotide ribosomal RNA is filed under the name Candidatus Bathyarchaeota archaeon. Its description in RNAcentral is "bacterial SSU rRNA". It matches the Rfam family "Archaeal small subunit ribosomal RNA", at positions 279 to 681 of the family's 1478-position model. The record is from RNAcentral. Lineage: Archaea; Thermoproteati; Candidatus Bathyarchaeota.